GUUCGGAUUGUAGUCUGNAACCCGACUACAUGAAGCUGGAAUCGCUAGUAAUCGCAGGUCAGCAUACUGCGGUGAAUACGUUCCCGGGUCUUGUACACACCGCCCGUCACACCAUGGGAGCCGGAAAUGCCCGAAGCCAGUGACCCAACCUUAGGGAGGGAGCUGUCGAAGGUGGAGCCGGUAACUGGGGUGAAGUCGUAACAAGGUACC
This 210-nucleotide ribosomal RNA is filed under the name uncultured bacterium. Its description in RNAcentral is "partial 16S ribosomal RNA". It matches the Rfam family "Bacterial small subunit ribosomal RNA", at positions 1291 to 1500 of the family's 1533-position model. The record is from RNAcentral.